RNAcentral lists this ribosomal RNA (253 nucleotides) under uncultured bacterium. RNAcentral's name for it is "partial 16S ribosomal RNA". It matches the Rfam family "Bacterial small subunit ribosomal RNA", at positions 524 to 776 of the family's 1533-position model. The record is from RNAcentral.
UACGUAGGGUGCAAGCGUUGUCCGGAAUUAUUGGGCGUAAAGAGCUCGUAGGCGGUUUGUCGCGUCUGCUGUGAAAACUCGGGGCUUAACCCCGGGCCUGCAGUGGGUACGGGCAGACUAGAGUGCGGUAGGGGAGACUGGAAUUCCUGGUGUAGCGGUGAAAUGCGCAGAUAUCAGGAGGAACACCGAUGGCGAAGGCGGGUCACUGGGCCGCAACUGACGCUGAGGAGCGAAAGCAUGGGGAGCGAACAGG